CUUCUUGCCAUCUUUCUUCUG
Molecule: unclassified non-coding RNA, 21 nt
Filed under: Mus musculus (house mouse)
Lineage: Eukaryota; Metazoa; Chordata; Mammalia; Rodentia; Muridae
Description: oocyte_clustered_small_RNA10992
Source: RNAcentral